This is a non-coding RNA of Vigna umbellata (rice bean), 951 nucleotides long. Lineage: Eukaryota; Viridiplantae; Streptophyta; Magnoliopsida; Fabales; Fabaceae. The record is from RefSeq and is a predicted model, not a curated record.
CUUGUGGCUAUCACAAGGUUCAUGUCAUAUUCGAUACCUUACCUUUUAUGUACUAUGAUUAUAGAUGCUUUUAGUCCUUCAGGUAAAAGGCCGAAUAGUAUAUAAGCAAUGAUUUAACCCCGUCUAUAACUAGAUUACUUGGAGUUUAGUUAUUUCUAACAUUUUUAUAUAAAACAAUUAAAACUCAUAAUUGUAAGAAAUCAAUAAAUUAAUAUAUAGUUUUUGUCUUGUACCCUUUAGAUGAUUUUGAACCUUGGUUUAACUUUCUUUUGUGUUUAAGUUUUAAUAUAAUGUGUAUUCCUCUUCAAUUUCUGGCUUAGGUUGUGAUGACGCUCCCCUACUUCCACUGCUUUACAUAAUUACCAAUUUGGCAUUCAAUAUAUCCCUCCUUAAUGCAGUAAAAACUUCUUCUGCAGUUGUAUCUUCUCUUCUAGUAAUGUUGUCAGUGCCCAUAUCUGUUUAUAUUCUUUCUCUACCAUUACCAUAUCUUCCCGAGGGAACAAGCUUGAGCCCAUUUUUUUUGCUUGGCUGUGGAAUUCUUCUGUGUGGUCUCUUACUGUACAACACAUCUCGACCUGUGAGGAACAGCUCUGAAGUGGACUGAAACCGUCCCAGUUCUGAGGAUGAACUAUCGGCUGGGCACCCUGCCCAAAAGAAUAUCAGCAGCCUCCAGGUACUACUGUUCACGGUGAAAUAUAUUUUCUCCAACGUGCUCGAAUUAUACAUACUCACUAUCCUUGCGAUUAUUCUUUUGAGCCGAAAAUUUGUUCGGUUUCCACUUUUGAGUGUCACUUAGUUGCUUUAUGAUGGCUGACUUCCUCGUUCUUCCACUGGAUUAUUGUAACUUAAGAUUAUGCAUAUAUCUCUCAUCACUUGUUCUGGUAUAUUUUCAUGUACAUUAAUACAUAACAGAAAAAUGCAUUUGACAGAAAUGCAAGGUGCGAACAUUUU